AAGUGCGAGGAAGGCAUUGCUUGUAAAUAUCCAGCAGACGCCUCCUAGAACACCCUUGGCUCAGGUGGGUCUCCUGUCCACGCUUGACUCAAUCACAGUCCAGGAAGAUGGGAUUCACUUUGAGCAGCUCCAGAGCUGGAGUGCAGCCAGUGUCUCUGAGGCCCUUGAGAUGCAGAGGGCAGCAGGAGGCUCCUGAACAAGUCCAGGACUCUCAGGAAUGAGGAUGUAGUGGAGGAAUGGAUGCUGGCUGUGCCAUCAACGAUAUCCCACACCUGUGCAGUCACAGAGACGUCUCAGGCAGCAUCUAAGUGCAUUUCAUGUGUGUGUUGGGUGGAAUUGGUCAGGAUGCCAAAUGAAUUUAACAUAGUAUUGAAUCGAUCUUUCCUCCUCCAAGACAGAGUUCCUUAAAGAAUGUGCAAAAGGAUGAAAACCUCACAAACUAGAACAGCGCAUGACAUGUGGUGGGAAAUCCCGCAGACUCAUGCUAAUUGCCACUUGGACUUGGCAUUUCCAUGAACCUUUAACAAAUGGUAACUCAGACAUUUGCUACUUUGUAGGGGCCACGCAGUCACUGUAUCUCCUGCUGAACCCACCUGCUGAAAACUUCCUCCUACCCUCCAAGGGUAAAAAAAACUCCAAAGAUGGAUUCAUCCGUUUUGUCAGCAGACACGCUGAGGAUGUGGAGGUGAAAAUAAAGCCAAGCCUGGUUUUGUAGGAAGCAUGUAAACCAGAGCAACUCCAUCUUAGAUAGGAGCUAUCUAAAAUGAGGCUGAGACCUACUGGGUUGCAUUCCCAGAGGGUCAGGCAUUCGAAGUCACAGGAUCAGAUAGGAGGUUGGCACGAGAUACAGGUCAUAAAGACCUUGCUGAUAAAACAGGUUGCAGUAAAGAAGCCAGCCAAAACCCACCAAAACUAAAAUGGUGACAAGUGACCUCUGGUUGUCAUCACUGCUACACUCCCACCAGCACCAUGACAAUUUAUAAAUGCCAUGGCAACAUCAGGAAGUUACCCUGUAUGGGCUAGAAAGGGGAAGCAUGAAUAACCCACCUCACAUGUGGUAUAUCAUCAAGAAACAACCAUAAAAAUAGGCAACCAGCAGCCUUCGGGGCUUCUCUACCUAUGGAGCAGCCAUUCUUUCAUUCCUUUACUUUUCUAAUAAACGUGCUUUCACUUUAUGGACUUGCCCUGAAUUCUUUUUUGU
This 1201-nucleotide long non-coding RNA is filed under the name Aotus nancymaae (Ma's night monkey). Its description in RNAcentral is "lncRNA (ENSANAG00000039546.1)". The record is from RNAcentral. Lineage: Eukaryota; Metazoa; Chordata; Mammalia; Primates; Aotidae.